UACGUAGGGCGCAAGCGUUAUCCGGAAUUAUUGGGCGUAAAGAGCUCGUAGGCGGUUUGUCGCGUCUGCCGUGAAAGUCCGGGGCUCAACUCCGGAUCUGCGGUGGGUACGGGCAGACUAGAGUGAUGUAGGGGGAGACUGGAAUUCCUGGUGUAGCGGUGGAAUGCGCAGAUAUCAGGAGGAACACCGGUGGCGAAGGCGGUGGGCUGGGCCGGAACUGACGCUGAGGAGCGAAAGCGUGGGGAGCGAACAGG
RNAcentral lists this ribosomal RNA (254 nucleotides) under uncultured bacterium. RNAcentral's name for it is "partial 16S ribosomal RNA". It matches the Rfam family "Bacterial small subunit ribosomal RNA", at positions 524 to 776 of the family's 1533-position model. The record is from RNAcentral.